GACGAACGCUGGCGGCGUGCUUAACACAUGCAAGUCGAACGGAAAGGCCCUGCUUUUGUGGGGUGCUCGAGUGGCGAACGGGUGAGUAACACGUGAGUAACCUGCCCUUGACUUUGGGAUAACUUCAGGAAACUGGGGCUAAUACCGGAUAGGAGCUCCUGCUGCAUGGUGGGGGUUGGAAAGUUUCGGCGGUUGGGGAUGGACUCGCGGCUUAUCAGCUUGUUGGUGGGGUAGUGGCUUACCAAGGCUUUGACGGGUAGCCGGCCUGAGGGGGUGACCGGCCAAAUGGGGACUGGAAUACGGCCCAGACCCCUACGGGGGGCAGCAGGGGGGAAUAUUGCACAAGGGGGGGAAGCCUGAUGCAGCAACGCCGGGGGGGGGAUGACGGCCUUGGGGUUUAAAACCGCUCCCGCCUGUGACGAAGCGGGGGUGACGGUAAUGGGGAAAGAAGCACCGGCUAACUACGU
This 467-nucleotide ribosomal RNA is filed under the name uncultured bacterium. RNAcentral describes it as "partial 16S ribosomal RNA". It matches the Rfam family "Bacterial small subunit ribosomal RNA", at positions 28 to 506 of the family's 1533-position model. The record is from RNAcentral.